Molecule: ribosomal RNA, 253 nt
Filed under: uncultured bacterium
Lineage: Bacteria
Description: partial 16S ribosomal RNA
Rfam family: Bacterial small subunit ribosomal RNA
Source: RNAcentral
UACGGGGGGGGCAAGCGUUGUUCGGAAUUACUGGGCGUAAAGGGCGCGUAGGCGGCUCGCUAAGUUGGAUGUGAAAACUCUGGGCUUAACCCAGAGCCUGCAUCCAAAACUGGCAAGCUGGAGUACUGGAGAGGGAAGCGGAAUUCCGGGUGUAGCGGUGAAAUGCGUAGAUAUCCGGAGGAACACCGGUGGCGAAGGCGGCUUCCUGGACCGACACUGACGCUGAGGCGCGAAAGCGUGGGGAGCAAACAGG